Molecule: ribosomal RNA, 421 nt
Filed under: uncultured bacterium
Lineage: Bacteria
Description: partial 16S ribosomal RNA
Rfam family: Bacterial small subunit ribosomal RNA
Source: RNAcentral
AAUAUUGGCCAAUGGGGUCAACGCUGUUCUAGCCAUGCCGCGCGUGUGAAGAAGGUCAUCGGAUUGUAAAGCAUAUUUAGUUGGGUGGAAGGGCUUUAGGUUAAUACCAUGAAGUCUUGACGUUACAAUCAGAAUAAGCACCGGCUAACUCUGUGACAGCAGCCGCGGUAAUACGGAGGGUGCAAGCGUUAAUCGGAAUUACUGGUCGUAAAGCACGCGUAGGUGGUUCAGUAAGAUGGGUGUGAAAUCCCCGGGCUUAACCUGGGAGCUACUUUCAUAACUGCUGAGCUAGAGUACGGUAGAGGAUAGUGGAAGUUCCUGUGUAGCGGUGAAAUGCGUAGAUAUAGGAAGGAACACCAGUGGCGAAGGCGACUACCUGGACUGAUACUGACGCUGAGGAGCGAAAGCGUGGGGAGCAAAC